This 856-nucleotide ribosomal RNA is filed under the name uncultured Neocallimastigales. RNAcentral describes it as "partial large subunit ribosomal RNA". It matches the Rfam family "Eukaryotic large subunit ribosomal RNA", at positions 20 to 645 of the family's 3401-position model. The record is from RNAcentral. Lineage: Eukaryota; Fungi; Neocallimastigomycota; Neocallimastigomycetes; Neocallimastigales.
UACUAGAGUAGCACUCGCAUAUCAAUAAGCGGAGGAAAAGGAACUAACAAGGAUUCCCCUAGUAACGGCGAGUGAAGCGGGAAGAGCUCAAAUUUGAAAUCUUAAAGGGUUUCCCUUUACGAAUUGUAGUUUAAAGAAGUGUUUUCUGUUGAGGUUUUGGUAAAAGUUCCUUGGAAUAGGACAUCAUAGAGGGUGAGAAUCCCGUAUUUGACCUUUACUUUCAACUUUGUGAUACACUUUCAAAGAGUCGGAUUGUUUGGGAAUGCAGUCCAAAAUGGGUGGUAAAUUUCAUCUAAAGCUAAAUAUUGGCGAGAGACCGAUAGCGAACAAGUACCGUGAGGGAAAGAUGAAAAGAACUUUGAAAAGAGAGUUAAACAGUACGUGAAAUUGUCAAAAGGGAAGCGUUUGACACCAGUGUUGUUUUUCUGAAAAUCAAUUAAAGAACUGUUUAUGCUAAGUUGUUUAGACUUUAUCAGCUAUCUGUUUAGUUUUGAGCUUUUCUUUAAUGCACUUUUCAGUUAACAAGUCAACAUCAAUUUCUUUUGCUGUAAAAAAGCUUGAGGAAGGUGGCUUGAGAUUCGUCUUAAGUGUUUAUAGCCUCUUGCCUAUGCAGUCGGAGAGAUUGAGGUCUGCAGCGUAGAUCCUUCGGGGCUAAAUGCAUUUGUGCUAAGUUAUAGCAUUUUAUAGACAACUUGUUGACUAUGAUUUGUCUUGUAGCUUACUCGCUUAUGUUAUUUUACCUACGCUUAGGAUGUUGACACACGCGCGUGCUCGGCUCUAUACAUGACUCUGUGCAUAUCAAUAAGCGGAGGAAAAGGCAUACCUACGCUUAGGAUGUUGAUCUCUACAGUCGAGC